UGUGCCAGCAGUCGCGGUUAUACAAUGAAGGCUAACGUUAAUCAUAAUGGUUUAAAGGAUUUGUAGAAUGAAUAUUUAAAUAAAAAUAUUUAGAGUUAAUUAAAAUAUAAUUAAAGAAUUAUAAUAGUAAAGAUGAAAUAAUAAUAAUAAUUAUAAGACUGGUAAUAAUGAAAAUAUUAAUUAAUAAUUAACUGACAUUGAGAAAUGAAAACUAAAGUAGCAAAACAGAUUCGAUACCUGUGUAGUUUUAGUAGUAAACGAUGAAUACAUAUUUUAUAAUAUAAUAAUAAUUAUAAAAUAAAAUGAAAAUUAAAGUAUUCCACCUGAAGAGUAUAUUAGCAAUAAUGAAACUCAAGACAAUAGACGGUUACAGACUUAAGUAGUGGAGCACGUUAUUUAAUUCGAUAAU
RNAcentral lists this ribosomal RNA (409 nucleotides) under Arxiozyma telluris. RNAcentral describes it as "Kazachstania telluris partial small subunit ribosomal RNA". It matches the Rfam family "Bacterial small subunit ribosomal RNA", at positions 504 to 958 of the family's 1533-position model. Lineage: Eukaryota; Fungi; Ascomycota; Saccharomycetes; Saccharomycetales; Saccharomycetaceae. The record is from RNAcentral.